Folsomia candida is the source of this 607-nucleotide long non-coding RNA. RefSeq lists it as uncharacterized. The record is from RefSeq and is a predicted model, not a curated record. The transcript has 3 exons. Lineage: Eukaryota; Metazoa; Arthropoda; Collembola; Entomobryomorpha; Isotomidae.
UGAAUAUUUAGUGCGUAUUUGUUAGCACUAAAUUUUCAUGAGAUUUUUUGCACCAAAUUCAUGCAUAAUUCGUACCUGGGAAAUUGUACAAACUCAAAAUGCAGUAAACAGGUGCCAGCAUAUUCACACAAAAUUUGUACCGAUUAUUCUGCAAUAAUUUACUACUAAAUUAGUAUCAUUUUUCUAUUCGCGAUUAAAUAAACAAACCUCAAUUAUGGUCGAAAAUCAAAAUCCUAUUUCGGAUAAAAGUUCGUAUUCUUCGAGCUUGAAGGUGACAAAUGAGUGGAGAUUGUGCCGUCUACGUGGAUUUCAAAAGAUUGGACGACUAAUGGCGUGUUAUAUGCCGGAAAAUACGAUUAUUCAUACGUUGAGAACACAUAUAAGGAAUAAAUCUAUCGACUCAUGUGAUAACGACAAACGGCGUCGCCCUAAAUUAUCAGCAGAAGAGCCUGAGGUGAAUAAUGAGACAUUGGUCAGGAAUUCAUUUUAACUUAAUCUUUCUCUAUACUCCGUAAGUACGAAUUCUGCAGAUUAAUUACGAUAAAUAUUUGUGUAUCCCAAUUUGCAAUUAUCUAUUAAUUAGUUAAGUUUUUGGAGAUACCUAACA